Molecule: long non-coding RNA, 657 nt
Organism: Fukomys damarensis (Damara mole-rat)
Lineage: Eukaryota; Metazoa; Chordata; Mammalia; Rodentia; Bathyergidae
Exons: 5
Source: RefSeq, a predicted model, not a curated record
GAAGAAUCUGGAGGAAGAGAAAGAAGAGGAGGACGAGGAGGAGGAAAUCUUACCAAAUUUGUCCAGAUUGGCAGUUAGAAGUAGGCACAGCUUUGAGUUUUUACCAUGUGGCAGAUAGUAAUGUAAGCCCUUGAGAAGAGGCAAGUCAUGGAAUCCUGGGUGAUAGCUCUGAGAAGCAGACGCCGUGUUACCAAACCCAUGUUACAGUGCUGAAGAUUUUAUGGCCACAUGGAGAUACUGUGAGAGGAUAAAGACAGCCCAGCGCUUGGCACCUGGGGUGGAGUCAGUCAAGUGCAGUCUCAUUGUGUCUAGUAGGCCACUUGGGGCACAAUCUUUCAUGACGAUGACAAGCACUCAAGAUGGGAGACCAGUGAGGGGACGCUACCCCUUUCACCUCACGAGUCAGCCACGGCAAGUCACACGAGGUGACACAGCAAGAAAAGUGAGCAAGAAGACACGGGUAUGUGAGUAAGCAGGACGCCAGGAGAUGGACAAUAAUCGGCUGAGCAGGAAUAAACAGGAGCAGGUCAUAACCUCAGACGUUUUGUCAUGGUGAUGGAAACUGACUAAUACAACCCUCUACUGGGACACUAGGUUGAAGAGAGUAUUAUCAAGAUUCCUCCCUGGCCAACAGCCUGAAAGAUAAGACAAUCAGAA